CUUUGUCCCCAUUUCUUAUUCUCGACUUUCCUUCCUGCUUUGACUCCUCUCCCGGAGCCUGACUCCUGGCCACCAGAACUCCUGUUACCUGCUCCUUGAUGAAGCCAUCUCUCUAGAAUGCACCUGUCUGACCAAGCCCACCCAAUCUGACAGAGAGGGACGCUAGAAUAAAGGCACCCGGCAACCGAAACUUGCAUGUGAUAAUGAGAAUGCUUCUAUUCACAAUGGAAGGAAAUGCUAAGUUUCUUUUUUUUUUUUUUUACUUGACCCCUUUUACCCAUUUCUCCCACCCCCAACCCACGGCCUCUGGCAACCCACCAAUCUACCCUUUGUAUCUAUGAACUUGUUUUGUUCUUGCUUUAUUUCCCAUGUAACAGAGAUCAGAUGGUAUUUGCCUUUCUCUGACUUAUUUCAGGAAAUGUAAGUUUCAAUUAGACGUUAGUGACAAUAAAGAUAUAGUUUUUGUUUGGUUUUGUUUUCUUUUUAGGCUCAAGGAUCCCCAGAUAAUAUCCAUAAAACCACCCAUGGGCCCAGGUGUCAAACUCCAGCCGUGGAUGAUUAGAAAGCCAAUUGUAAAACAGGUUCCCGCUGCUGCUGAAUGACCCAGCGUCCAGCGAGGUCCCCGCCUUGUGACUGUCUUCCCCAGGGUGGGGCCGCUGUGACUGCUGUCUGGGGUGGGCCCGCUGGUGCUAUUGGCCCCCAGCACUGAAGGUUCUACCGCUGGUCCCGGUGGCCAUCACAGCAGGUGCCAAAGCUGGGAGAGCCUCACGUGGGACCUGAAUUGGAGUGAGGACUUGUGCUCUCACCAGGCAACAGAGAUUUCGAUAGGGAAACUGAGGCCAAGACCAUUAGAAAGCUGUACUCAUCGCGAGGCGAGAUUUAAAGAAGUAUCACCACAUGGAUCCAAGAACAUUCUCGCAUUGUUAACUGCUUCAAGACCUUAACUUGAUGCCCAUAUGACCUUGAACUCCUUUGGGGAAUCAUAAAACUCCUCUUUUAGUGACUUUCAGACUGUGGGCUUUGACCCCUAGGAAGUUGGGGGAAAACUGUGAAAUAAAUGUAA
Long non-coding RNA from Prionailurus viverrinus (fishing cat), 1063 nucleotides. RefSeq lists it as uncharacterized. The record is from RefSeq and is a predicted model, not a curated record. NCBI's taxonomy places the organism in Eukaryota, Metazoa, Chordata, Mammalia, Carnivora, Felidae. The transcript is spliced from 3 exons.